Molecule: long non-coding RNA, 647 nt
Organism: Notothenia coriiceps (black rockcod)
Lineage: Eukaryota; Metazoa; Chordata; Actinopteri; Perciformes; Nototheniidae
Exons: 3
Source: RefSeq, a predicted model, not a curated record
UUUCCAGCGGCAGUGAAAGCCUCCUUCCUGAAUGCGUCUAAACCUGGUUAUUAUUUUCUAUAUCGGGGUGAACGAGGGAAAGUUCAAAUCAACAGGACAUUUCAGAUCCCCCCCACGCAGUAACCAGGUUUAGAAAUGUCUUCUCAAAAUAUUAAGAUGGCUAUAGCUGACAUGUUCGAUGGUCUGUCGAGCAGUAACUUUGACAAUUUCCGCCACGAGCUUUUACAUCGCAAUGAAGGACCGCGGGUUGCACGGAUCAGGGUGGAGGGUAAAAGCCGCUUAGAGAUCACAAACGUCCUCGUUUCCACUUUCACGGAGACUGGCGCUGUUGGGGUAGCUGUGGAGAUGUUGAGAGAGAUUGCCUGCAACGAGGAAGCAGACCAACUCGUCAGAAACACAACCGGAAAACAUUAGACUGCUCUUUUUGACACUGCAAGACCCUGACCAGGAGCUGUAGUGAGUGGUAUCGGUGGUAAUGCAACAUCUCAGAUUAUGUUUCACUGCCUGAAUGCUGGAUGUUUUAAGGAAACAAAUCGAAAUAAUCUAUAUCAAAAGCUUCAAUCUGAAUUGAGAUAUCUUCAACAACCAUGGCACAUUCAAAUGUUAUUUUUAUCCCAAUAAAGUUAAACGUUUUUAAUGAAAUCAAA